Molecule: long non-coding RNA, 903 nt
Organism: Zalophus californianus (California sea lion)
Lineage: Eukaryota; Metazoa; Chordata; Mammalia; Carnivora; Otariidae
Exons: 7
Source: RefSeq, a predicted model, not a curated record
GUGAAUGCAAGUAGCAAACGCUUCUUCUCAACUCCUGACGUUUUCUUCCAGAGAUAGCAUUAUUCUUUCUCCUUUAUUCCUUCCACCGUACCGUAAGGCGGGAGAGUUCAUCAUUCAUUUUAGAUAGGGGAAGGAUGAAAGUCAAAGCAAGAGUGCUCAUGGACACCUUUUGAGGGCCCUGUGGAGUGGAGAUGCCCCAUUUGACCUUUCAUUCCUCAACAGAAAGAUUCCACAGAGAUAAUGUAGGGAGCUUACAUGAGCGAGAGCUGAGUUCCUGAACUUAGUUAUGUAUGAUUCAGAAACAGUUCUAUGGAGCUAAAAGCAUGAAUUAAACACAGACCCUGCGCUCAAGGAACUUCCAAGUCUAAUGGCAGAGGUGAACCAGUGCAUAUCACUUAUACUCAUGGAAGACCAAGAAAAAAGGAAGAAGAAAAAGAAAAAAUUUCACUCUGAAGUUGCUAAAUACUCCAUCAAUGAUGUAUAUGAAAGGUCUACCCUUGGCCCUCAGAGCUCAAUGUUAAGAGCUUGGAUCCUGGCUGUGAUGCUAGUCGAACUUGGGGAGCAGAAAAUGCACAUGGAGACUGGAGAGGGAGAAAGACUAGGAAGAAGCAGAGAUGGAUUAAUUCCCAACUGAGAUUGAAUUUAAUGACUGAAAGGUCAUACUCCCUUGGUCUGAUUAACUUCUGGCGAUCCAUCACCAACUGAACUCUUGGAACUUUCUCUGAGAAAACAGGCUUAAACUCUGGGAGACACUGAGGCCACAGAAAAUUCAAGGCAAUCAGUAGGAGUCUACCAGACAGCACUUUCAUGUCAGUAGAACAGUGUCCAGGACAGCAAGAAGAUGACAGAGUCAGGAGACAAGUCACAAAAUGAAGCUAACAGCUGGAGUUCAAAGGAAAACAA